UGUCCAGGGGCGGGAAUCGAACCCACAACCUUCUGCUUACCGGGCAGGUGCCAUGUCCACUAGGCUACUCUGGAC
Non-coding RNA from Cordylochernes scorpioides, 75 nucleotides. The record is from the annotation of a GenBank genome assembly. NCBI's taxonomy places the organism in Eukaryota, Metazoa, Arthropoda, Arachnida, Pseudoscorpiones, Chernetidae.